RNAcentral lists this ribosomal RNA (497 nucleotides) under uncultured bacterium. RNAcentral describes it as "partial 16S ribosomal RNA". It matches the Rfam family "Bacterial small subunit ribosomal RNA", at positions 28 to 507 of the family's 1533-position model. The record is from RNAcentral.
GACGAACGCUGGCGGCGUGCCUAAUACAUGCAAGUAGAACGCUGAAGAGAGGAGCUUGCUCUUCUUGGAUGAGUUGCGAACGGGUGAGUAACGCGUAGGUAACCUGCCUUGUAGCGGGGGAUAACUAUUGGAAACGAUAGCUAAUACCGCAUAACAAUGGAUGACACAUGUCAUUUAUUUGAAAGGGGCAAUUGCUCCACUACAAGAUGGACCUGCGUUGUAUUAGCUAGUAGGUGAGGUAAUGGCUCACCUAGGCGACGAUACAUAGCCGACCUGAGAGGGUGAUCGGCCACACUGGGACUGAGACACGGCCCAGACUCCUACGGGAGGCAGCAGUAGGGAAUCUUCGGCAAUGGGGGCAACCCUGAACGAGCAACGCCGCGUGAGUGAAGAAGGUUUUCGGAUCGUAAAGCUCUGUUGUAAGUCAAGAACGGGUGUGAGAGUGGAAAGUUCACACUGUGACGGUAGCUUAACAGAAAGGGACGGCUAACUACGUG